CCUUGCAGUUUGAUCUCAGACUGCUGUGCUAGCAAUCAGCGAGACUCCGUGGGCGUAGGACCCUCCGAGCCAGGUGCGGGAUGUAAUCUCGUGGUGGGCCGUUUUUUAAGCCCGUCGGAAAAGCGCAGUAUUCGGGUGGGAGUGACCCGAUUUUCCAGGUGCCGUCCGUCACCCCUUUCUUUGACUAGGAAAGGGAACUCCCUGACCCCUUGCGCUUCCCUAGUGAGGCAAUGCCUCGCCCUGCUUCGGCUUGCGCACGGUGCGCGCACCCACUGACCUGCGCCCACUGUCUGGCACUCCCUAGUGAGAUGAACCCGGUACCUCAGAUGGAAAUGCAGAAAUCACCUGUCUUCUGCGACGCUCACACUGGGAGCUGUAGACCGGAGCUGUUCCUAUUCGGCCAUCUUGGCUCCUCCCCAGGAAAAAAUUUCUUAAAGUUGUUUUCUCCACUUUUCUGAUGCUGAUCAAAUUUGAAUUCCCACAUCAUAUUUAUGUAUCUCAAGUAUAUUUGACAAACAGAUGCUGUACUGUAUCUCAGGCCUCUUGCCCAACAAAAUGGUGAACAAGACUCCACCUACUUCAAGGAUUGGGAGAAUAGAGAGUGGAAUGGGAACAACUGGUCUAUCAAUGAGAAGAAAGUGCCAACUGAAAACUUUUAGAAAAUACCCAGUUUACUCAAGGAAAAUAACAUGCAUUGAAGGUGAUUGCUCAAUAGAGAGAAGUUGAAACAGCAGACUAAUUGCCUGUUUGUGACACCCAUGUAAUCAACUUGGCCUAUAGGUUGAGGUUGAUCUGAAAGAUAGGACUAUUUGUGAUCCAGAAUCAAAAGAGUCAAGAAAAGUCUGAGAAUUUCAUCCUUGGAGCAGAAAGUGAAAGUGUUCUGGAGCCAAAAGUAGUAACAAAGAUGGAGGGCAAGAGAUCAUUGGAUUAAAUCAUAUUGGCAGACCAAAUUUCAGAAGAAUCAACACACCAGAGACAAGAAGAACUUGAAGUUAAAGCAAAGUUCCCUUAUACUGGAGAAUUCUUCUGCAUUCUCUGCUCAAAUAUGAUGCCCCCCACCAUGAAGAAGAGAUUCACCUUGGAUAUAACCACAAUUUACCCCCCUCAACAGAUCCCAGGAGGCUGCUGCUUACCUACUAGGGAGCCCACCUGCCUCGCUUUCUGCUUCCCCAGUCCUAUCCAUCUUGCUCCAUAUGAACUUUCCCAGGCCCAAGCUGCAGAUAUGAGAAUGAUAGCUACUCAUCAAACCUUUUUCCUUGUCUUGUUGAGCACACAGCUGGACCCCAUUUCAAAGCCUCUGUUGAGGUUAGAUAUGGUCAUGUGCCUGAGUCCUAGCCAAUAGAAUGUAACUGGGAACUGUUGUGUGUCUCUUUGAAAUCUGGCUGAUGAAUACCCACCCCCAUGCUACCCUCCAUGUUGUUUCCCUUUGUACUGACUUGAUGCAAUUGAGCCCAGGAAGCUUCAAAGCUAUAUGCUGAGGAUGGAUUUGAUAUCACAGAGGAAGCCUGGGUCCCUACAUCACUGCUUUGAGAACUGCUGCCCACCUUUUGGACCACCCAUUUUGGACUUAACAUGAGCAAGAAAUAAACUUUUCUGUUUGAACCAUUAUAUAUGUUUGGAUUUGUAUGUUGCAGCAGCUACAAUUACCUUAACCAAUAUGGACCCCCUGAGAAAAGUUGUUGGACCAAUAUGCAUUUAAGCUCAGGUUUCAAUUUUUCACACAUGAAAAAUUAUAAAUACAUAUAACUUUGAGCUUCUUUAGGAAAGAACGAAUACCCUAACUGGCUUGGUAUUCUCCCAGUAAAUAGUUCUUGAAAGGGUAUUUCAUAUAGUAGAAAUUCAAUGACUGCCUGUUCAAAAUGUUUAAAUGUUCAAGUCUUAAGAAAAAAAUGUCAACUACGAGAAGAUUAAGGAUUCAUUUACAUAGUGAGAGCUAAAUGAAGUCUUACUGAAUAAAUAAAUGAAUGAGUGAAUAAAUGGUAUAUUUGAUGAAAAUAAGUCUCACCUUAAGAUUCACAGAGAAAUUUGCUUAUCUGUAAGAUAAGGAUUGUGAUACCUUGCGCUUUCUACCUCACACGAAAUGUGUUAGUAUCAAAUCAGAGAAUUUACUUUCAAGCAUUUACUUUCUAAAUUACCAAGUGCUAGACACAUGUGAGUUCUCCAGUAUAAUUUAGAUAGAUUACUUUAUGUUUUGUCAGUAUGUUGACAGUUUAUUGAUAAUGGAGUUGAAACUCAAGGAAGGAGAAUAAUCUGUGAAGCACUUCUGAACAUCUUGGAGAUUUUUUUAAAAGUUAUAUUGGUGACCUGAAGAUUUUAGACCUCUUAAAAUUCUGAAUUACUAUUAACUUGCAGAUAAAAUAAUGCCAUUAUUUACCACUGGACUCAAGAGAACAUCUUUGUGUAUUAUUGGUACCCUGAAAUUAUAACUAAUCAUAUCCCCUCUGUAUCUCCCUAAGAUGUAUCUGCCACUUCUUAGGUUCCUACUUAGUGAUUAGAGUCAGAAAAGCAUUAAUCAACACUGCUGUGCCAAAUACUAUGGAAAUUCAUUUAACCAUAUUACAUAAUUGAAAUGUCAGAAUGUUUAAACACUUUCUGUCAUAUGAAAAUAUAUUGGAAAUGUCUAGAACCAAGCUGGCAGAGAAAAACACAAGGAAUGUUCUUAUAAAACAAAUGAGAUCUAGCUGGGCAUGGUGGCAUGUGCCUGUAGUUCCAGCUGCUCAGGAGGCUGAGGUGGGAGGACUGCUUGAGCCCAGGAGUUUGAGGCCAGCCUGGACAACAUAAUGAGAUCUCCAUCACUAAAAAUAAAUUUUAAAAUAAUGGAUAAGAAAGAUUUAAUGAUCCAUGGAAUGGUUGUUUGUGGGCUUUUGGUCAGAAGCCUGAGAGUGGGGAUUAGACAAAAGUGGCUGUCCAAUGUGUCAGUGGUGAUGCCAAUCUCUUGCCAGCUGAAAUUGAGAAGUAUAUGCAGCAGGCUUCAAUGACUGCCCUCACUGCUGAAAAGAAUAUAUCUUGUAUUGCCUGGGCAGGUGACCUUCACCAGGGGUUAAGAGAAUUCCUGUGAGUUCAUUGUGAGACUACCUCUCUUUCAUUUCCCAGUCCUUCAUCAGAAAAUUCAAGAGGCUCCUAUCACAUCCUAGAAUAAAGAUUUCCUUUAUGCAGGCUCCAUCCUCCAUCAGUAGGAGUCAAGUGGUAGCCCCAAAUUCUGCAUAUUUCUCUCACUCCUUUCAAACUGUCCAAUACUUACUAGCACUUUCUUCUUUGGAACAUCAUGUCCUAUAUUUCUGUCAUUUCAGUCACAAGAAGUGUAGGGCCCUAGAUCGUCCCCUAUCCCUUGGCCUUUAAUCUCCUUAUGGCUCCAAAAAUUGCCUUUUCUGCCACCAUCUCCCUUCUGCCCCAUCUCCUGAAAGAACUGGAACUUUCUGUCAAGCAUCUAUCAAUUAUCAACCAAAUUCCCUACAUCCCCUCACAUUUCCUUAUUUUAUUUGCUGGAACUAAAACUCACCUCUCCUCAAAGGACCCUGCUUGCCUUGCAGCCUCCUCAAGGGGUGGCUGUUUUCUCUCCCAGACCCCUCAAAGCACUGAGUCUGGAUGUGGGGUAGUGUCCUCCUCCCUCCUCAUUGCUUCUUCCAGAUCAUUAUUCCUCAUUUCUCCCUAAGACUACACAGUUUGAAUGACUUCAAUAUUGCCAAACCUCAAAGUGUAUUUGAGUCUUCAUUUUACUUGAUAGAUCAGCAGCAUUUUACACAGUUGAUCACUCUCUUUCUGCUGAGACAGUUUCUUCACUUGACUUCCAGGACACCACACUCUCCGGCUUGCUUCCUGCUUCACUAGUUGCUCCUUCUCUGUUCCUUUGCUACUUCCUUCUCAUCCCACUUAUCUCUAAGUGAGAGCCCCUGCACUUAAUCUUUGAACCUUGCCUCUUCUCUGGAUACACUUGCUGCCUUAACAAUCUCAUUUAAUCUCAUGAUUUUCUAUGCUUUCUAUAUGUUGAUGACUCUACAAGUUAUAGCUUUAUUCCAGAACUUUCUCCUGAACUUGAGAUGUAUGUAUCCAAGGGCUCACCUGACAUCUUCAUCUGGAUAUUAAUAGGUAUUUCAAAAUUAACACAUGAAAAACUGAGCUCCUGAUUUUUUCUUCAGAUCUUCUUCUCUUGAAGCCCCUCCAACCCACACCAAUCUCAGCAAAUGACAAUCCCAAUCUUUCAGUCAUUCAGGCCAAAAACUUUGAAGGCAUCCUUGACUCCUUUCUUUCUCUCACACUGCACAUCAAAUUUAUCAGAAAACCCUAAUGGAUCCUCUUUCAAAAUAUAUGUAUGGUAUCUGACCAGUUCUUACUGGCUUUACAACUACAACCCUGGCAACUGUUAUCUGUUACUUGGAUUGCUGCAAUAACUUCCUAACUGAUCCUUCUACUUCUGUCCUUGCCUCCUUCAUUUCUAUUCUAAAAAAAAGCAGCCAAAGUAAUUCUGUUAAACAUAAGCAGAAUAUAUCACUCGUUUGAUUAUAACCCUACAAUGGCUUCCUAGCUCACACUGUGUAAAAGUUAAAGUCCUACAAUAACCCUUCAAAGUUUUUGGCUAAGUAUGUAAGAUAUCUAGUGUGAUAGCAUUAAGUGCUGAGGUGGAAAAUUAAAGCAGGGAAUGGAAAUAGAGAGCAUCAAAGAUAGAGUGAUGAUUGCAUUUUAAAUAGACUUGAAGGAGAUAAUAGAGUAUGCCAUACAGAUAUUUAGGGAAAUAAUAUUCUAUGCAGAGAAAAGAGCAGGUGCAAAGGCCCUAAGGCAGAAGCAUGCUGGAAUAUACAAAGAACAGCAAGAAAGCUUUGCGCACUGGAGUGGCAGGAGAUGAGGUGAGACAGGCCUAUUGAUAAUGUCUCUUUCACUAAAAUAUAACAUGCAUGUGGAUAGAAAUGUUUGGCCUAUUUUAUCUACUGUUUUAUAACUAGAACUCAACUCUCAGCUAGCAUUCUACUCACACUGACCAUGUGUUCUGAGUUACAGUGGCAUUUUAUGUUACAGAAUCUUUUUUUGAGACCGGGUCUGGCCCUGUUGCCCAGGCUGAAGUGCAGUGGCGUGAUCUUGGCUCACUGCAACCUCUGCCUCCCAGGCUCAAGCCAUCCUCCCACCUCAGCCUCCCGAGUAGCUGGGACUACGCGCACACCACCAUGCCUGGCUAGUUUUUAUAUUAUUUGUAGAGACAGGGUUUCGCCAUGUUGGCUAGGCUGGUCUUAAACUUCUGAGCUCAAGUGAUCCACCUGCCUUGGCCUCUCAGAGUGCUGGGAUUAUGGGGUGUGAACCACCACACCCAGCCUAUGUUACAUAAUUUCGGUUUUUAGUGUCCAUAAUUACGGUCUGAAAUAGGUCAAGGGGACCCCAUGAUGGUCCUGGGAGAUGAGCAUUGAGACUACAAUGAUAGAAUGGAUCAGACCAUGCUUGAAGGACCUCAGAAGGUCUAGUCAAACUGUCAACUAACCCUCAUAGUUUGCAGAGCUGCUGGGAGACAAAAUCAUGUCCAGAACUCUGGAGCCACAGGAUUCCUUUGGGUCCCCAGAACUUCUUUGGAAAAGAUUAUAAUGGCUUUAACAUCAUUAACGUUUAUUGGGUUUUUACAAUGUAACAGGCAUGGUUCUAUGCACUUUACACAACUAAUUCAUUGAAUUCUCUCAACAACCUAAUGAGGUCAGAACUAUUAUCCUCAUUUUUGAUGUGAGAAAACUGAAGUACAGAGAGGUUAUGUGGCUUCCAAAGUCACAUAGUUUAAAAGUGGCAGAGACUGGAUUCAAAUGUAAACAAUAACCACUGCCGGGGUACCAUGGGAAGUUGUGGUCCAGACACUAAAUCAAGCUGCACCCAAGGUGUCCUAAUCCUACUCCUUCUUUCUCCACUGGAUGAGAGAAAAGGAGCAGGACCUAAGCCUCCUGAUUUUGUGGGAAUUUGCUUUUCUGUUCCAUGUUUCUCCCUCCGCUGCCCUUCUAUGCAUUGAAAUGAUGGGCAGGGGAACAUUUUCCGCCUCUGGAGGCAGGCGAGCAAAGACUCGAUGCACUUCCCCACCUCUUGCACUGGCUCAUACUUUAAUGGCUGGAAGUUUAAAAUCACAUCCCAAGCUUCUUGGAACUCAAAAUUCAGUUAUCUGACUCAGUAAAAUGUAGCUUUCUCACUUAAAAGGAUUUGCCCAAGGGGCCUCUGGGAUUUCAAAUAUACUUAAAAGCAACAACUGUGUUGAAUCAUAGAAUCAUAAGGGAUUGCAUUUCCGCUGGAGAACAGACAGGAUGUUUUAAACAGAGGGGGAAAUGUUUGAAGUUCGCCAAGCUUUGAGUUUCAUCCCACCCACCACAUCUGAAAACUAUCUGAGUCAUUUGAUGAAGGCAAAAUACAGCUGGGCUCCCUUAUUCUUAGUGUUAUUGUGGCCUACCAUCUUGACAUUGUGAUGCUAUCUGUGCAAGAACAUUUCACCUACAUCUACCAACCCUUUUCUAAACUGGAAUCAGGAAGAGUCUGUUCUCCAAAGUCUAUCUGGAGUGGAGUGGGCUGAGGGUGGUGUGGAGUAAAUAUUCUUAUAGACAGAAGGCAAAUACAGCUCUAGACAAAACAGUGAAGAGAAACAGGUUUGUCCAUGGCCCUGAGCUGCUGUCAAGGAGGUUACAGGGCCUUUAUCUCUUUCAUGGUGCUGCAGUAUUGUGUAGUGUGUUUAUGAACGUAGAUUUGGGAGUCAAAAAGAUACACGUUUAAUCUUGACCCUACCCACUUAUUUACUCACUGUGAAUCCUUGGGCAGAUUACUUAACCUUUCUAAUU
RNAcentral lists this long non-coding RNA (6785 nucleotides) under Homo sapiens (human). RNAcentral describes it as "HSALNT0281895". The record is from RNAcentral. Lineage: Eukaryota; Metazoa; Chordata; Mammalia; Primates; Hominidae.